AGAAGACUCAUGAGACACAUACUCCAUGAGUGGAUCGGAGACCCCUAGCUCAGUAAUAAUCACCUUGCACUCCUUCACAUUUUCAGCCAAUCUAGACGCAAAGCUCCAUAUAGAUUUCAUCAGCUCUUGUAGCCUUGCUCCCUCUCCAUAAAGUCCGUAGAGAAAUAGGAAACCAAAUGGUUUCUGCAGUGAGUCGCAUAUUGGCAAUUUAAGGCAAGCGAAAAUCUUAUCUCUUGCAUGGCUUAAAGUUGCAUGAAAAAACUUAAGUGGAUGAUGAGACUUUCGAAUAUGAAGCUUGUAUGCCUCACAAGAAUUCCAUAUGCUAAAGAUGGCCCAGGAACUAGGAGUUUUAGUAAUGAUGUCUUCAUUAUUCUUUUCAUUAUUGCUGUGCAAAAUAAUCCAUUCCUCUUCUUUAAAAUAAGAAACCCAAGUACCAAGACUCGGCUUUUCCUUCAACAUAGCAUCAAUGUCUG
This 473-nucleotide unclassified non-coding RNA is filed under the name Hevea brasiliensis (rubber tree). Lineage: Eukaryota; Viridiplantae; Streptophyta; Magnoliopsida; Malpighiales; Euphorbiaceae. The record is from RNAcentral.